This 429-nucleotide ribosomal RNA is filed under the name Acidobacteriota bacterium. RNAcentral describes it as "Acidobacteria bacterium partial 16S ribosomal RNA". It matches the Rfam family "Bacterial small subunit ribosomal RNA", at positions 355 to 776 of the family's 1533-position model. Lineage: Bacteria; Pseudomonadati; Acidobacteriota. The record is from RNAcentral.
UGGGGAAUUUUGGACAAUGGGGGAAACCCUGAUCCAGCCAUCCCGCGUGUGCGAUGAAGGCCUUCGGGUUGUAAAGCACUUUUGGCAGGAAAGAAACGUCAUGGGUUAAUACCCCGUGAAACUGACGGUACCUGCAGAAUAAGCACCGGCUAACUACGUGCCAGCAGCCGCGGUAAUACGUAGGGUGCAAGCGUUAAUCGGAAUUACUGGGCGUAAAGCGUGCGCAGGCGGUUCGGAAAGAAAGAUGUGAAAUCCCAGAGCUCAACUUUGGAACUGCAUUUUUAACUACCGGGCUAGAGUGUGUCAGAGGGAGGUGGAAUUCCGCGUGUAGCAGUCAAAUGCGUAGAUAUGCGGAGGAACACCGAUGGCGAAGGCAGCCUCCUGGGAUAACACUGACGCUCAUGCACGAAAGCGUGGGGAGCAAACAGG